GAUGAACGCUGGCGGCGUGCCUAAGACAUGCAAGUCGAGCGAAGCGGUGACGGGUGAGUAACACGUGGAGAACCUCCUAUAAGACUGGGAUAACUUCGUUCAACCGGAGCUAAACCGGCUACUUAUACAUGGAUCCGCGCUGCAUUAGCUAGUUGGUAAGGUAACGGCUUACCAAGGCAACGAUGCAUAGCCGACCUGAGAGUGUGAUCUGCCAAACUGGAACUGAGAUACGGUCCAGACUCCUACGGGAGGCAGCAGUGGGGAAUAUUACGGAAUGCACGAAAGCCCGACGGAGCAACGCGGCGUGAGCGAUGAAGGCCUUCGGAUAGUAAAAUACUUUCAGGAGGGAAGCGGUAACGGAUCAAAAAGCCACGGCUAAUUACGUGCCAGCAGCCGCGGUAAUAC
RNAcentral lists this ribosomal RNA (405 nucleotides) under uncultured bacterium. RNAcentral describes it as "partial 16S ribosomal RNA". It matches the Rfam family "Bacterial small subunit ribosomal RNA", at positions 28 to 526 of the family's 1533-position model. The record is from RNAcentral.